GACAGAGGCCUCGAGCGUUAGGCGGAAUCACUGGGCUUAAAGCGUGUGUAGGCGGGCCCGUAAGUGUCUUGUGAAAUCCCCCGGCUCAACCGGGGAACGGCUGGGCAUACUGCGGGUCUUGGGCCGACUAGGGGCAGCCGGAACAAGCGGUGAGCGGUGAAAUGCGUAGAUAUCGCUUGGAACGCCGAAGGUGAAAACAGGCUGCUGGGGUCGCGCCGACGCUGAGACACGAAAGCCAGGGGAGCAAACGGG
Molecule: ribosomal RNA, 252 nt
Filed under: uncultured bacterium
Lineage: Bacteria
Description: partial 16S ribosomal RNA
Rfam family: Bacterial small subunit ribosomal RNA
Source: RNAcentral